RNAcentral lists this ribosomal RNA (492 nucleotides) under uncultured bacterium. RNAcentral's name for it is "partial 16S ribosomal RNA". It matches the Rfam family "Bacterial small subunit ribosomal RNA", at positions 29 to 507 of the family's 1533-position model. The record is from RNAcentral.
AGUGAACGCUGGCGGUAGGCCUAACACAUGCAAGUCGAACGGCAGCACAGUAAGAGCUUGCUCCUACGGGUGGCGAGUGGCGGACGGGUGAGGAAUACAUCGGAAUCUACUUUUUCGUGGGGGAUAACGUAGGGAAACUUACGCUAAUACCGCAUACGACCUACGGGUGAAAGCAGGGGAUCUUCGGACCUUGCGCGAUUGAAUGAGCCGAUGUCGGAUUAGCUAGUUGGCGGGGUAAAGGCCCACCAAGGCGACGAUCCGUAGCUGGUCUGAGAGGGUGAUCAGCCACACUGGAACUGAGACACGGUCCAGACUCCUACGGGAGGCAGCAGUGGGGAAUAUUGGACAAUGGGCGCAAGCCUGAUCCAGCCAUACCGCGUGGGUGAAGAAGGCCUUCGGGUUGUAAAGCCCUUUUGUUGGGAAAGAAAAGCAGCAGGUUAAUACCCCGCUGUUCUGACGGUACCCAAAGAAUAAGCACCGGCUAACUUCGUG